GUUCAAGGUGUACAACAUGAUGAUUUAACAGAAGUAUCUGUUACAAAAUGCCUUAACUUUCAUAGGAACAUAAAUACACCUUUGCAGGAGAGAUGUUAAAUGUGUGCAAAUUUCUCCAAAAGCACAGGACUUCUGGUACUAUGGUGAAUAGAAGUGAUGAGAGGGGGCAUCCUUGUUCCUGAUCUUAGAAGAGAAAUACACUUUCAGGUUUUCAUUGAUGUUAUAUUCAUUAUGUGUGCUGAGGCUAUAUUCUGAAGGGGUUGGAGGAACUCCAAGAAGAUGUAAGAGACCUUAACACCACACUGACACUUGUGACCCAGUUUUCAUGACAUAUACCAUAACUCUGUCUUAUUCUGGUCCAUCAAACAAGUCGCCAAGUCCUGUCAAUGAAAUACCUGGAAGCAGGAAUCAUGAGAACCCCUUUUGGAGGAAUACCACAGAAAUGACAUUUCUAUUUGGAAACGUGACAUCAGUUUGUCCCAAUAAAAUAAUGAUGUUAACUUUAAUAAUUUUCUUAAAGUGGAUAUUGUUAAGUUUCUUCUGCAAUUUUGUUUCUCUGAUGUGGGCAGAUAUUUUAAAAGUAUGUAAAGAUAGUGUUUUCAUUCAUUAAACUAUCAUACACUAGUUUUAUCAUCUUUUGAUGGUUCUCAACUGUAGUAUUUGUUACCUAGUGUUCUACAGUAAGUAAAUGUUUUUUUCUCCCACAUUUACUGAUAUUUCAUGCAUUUGUUUAUAUCAAGGAUAUUGGGUUAUCAUUCAUUAGUGAAAUUAUUUACUUUAAUGAUCAAAUUUCCACAAAUUUAGCCAGUGGAAGUCCCUUCAAGGUAACUUUUAUGUUCUCUUUAUAUUUCUAAGUCAUUUCAGGAACAUUUUCCAAUUUUCACAUGCAAAAAUUCUAGGCUCUCUUGUACUUACCCUCCGUCAGCCAUGAAAUAAUCUGUUUUUUUUUUUUUGAGUCCUAGUUAUUUUUAGCAAAAUGUGGUAUUUAGAAAGCAAGUGCUAAAUAAAUUCAGUGGCACUUGUGUGUUAUUAACUCUAGCCUCUCCCAGCAAACAGAACUAGAAUAUACUGAAAACCAUGAUUUUAUACUAAUAUAUCACCUCUGAUUUUAAAUACAAUGGAGUAUAUACUAAUAUUCUGUGUUUUUAUAUUUGUAACUUGUUUCCAACUAUGAGAAAUCUGGCUUCCAUAAUCCUUAAUACAUAAUUGUUCAACAGAUAUUACAUAAAAAAUAGUUUCAGAAUUUUUGAACAUACUACAAUGAAAAGGAAAUCUACUCGAAGGAGUUCAGUUUUUUUCCAGCAUAUUUUUUUGGUUUGUGCAUUUUGCCUUAUAUAAUUUUAACUAAUAUUAAGCUUACAGUUGGAUACAUUUUACAAAUGUGUACAUCAGUGUAAAUUACACCCUUAUUAUCAAAACAUUUUCAUCAUCCUGCCCCUUUUGAGCAACAGCCAUGUACAUGUUUUAGAACUUCAUAUAAAUGGAUUCAUACAGUAUGUACUCUUUUGUAUCCAGGGUUUGUUUUUUUUUUCCCAGUAGGUAUUUGAAACUCAUCCAUUUUGCUUUGUUCAUUUUAUUGUUGAUUAGUAUUGAACAAAUACAUAAAGUAUGUUUAUUAUAGAAUAUUAGGAUUAUUUUGGUUUUCCUUUUGUGAAUAAAUUCCUGUGAACAUGCUUUUACAACUCUUUCUCUGAGGCCUAUAUUUUUUAUUUCUCUUUGAAAUGUAACUAGGAAUAGAAUUGUAUGGUCAACGUAAAUGUAUGUUUAAUUUAGUAAAAAAUUAAAAAAAAAAAUUUCUAAAGCCAAUUUAGUCUUUUACCCUCCUAUCAAUAAUAUAAACCAUUUCCUUUCUUCACUAAAAAUUGUUGCUGGCAGUCCUUCUAAUUGAUCCGUUUGCAUUUAUCUGACAGCUAAUGGUGUUCAGUGCCUUCCUACUAUGUGCUUAUUGGACAUUCAUUCAUACAUCUUUGUGAACUCUUUGUAGAAGUCUUUUUGCUUACCUUAAAUAAAUUGUUUUUCAUUACUGCCUUGUGGGUGUUCUUC
RNAcentral lists this long non-coding RNA (2043 nucleotides) under Mustela putorius furo (domestic ferret). RNAcentral describes it as "lncRNA (ENSMPUG00000028765.1)". Lineage: Eukaryota; Metazoa; Chordata; Mammalia; Carnivora; Mustelidae. The record is from RNAcentral.